AGUGUGCUUCUCGUUCUCGUAAAG
RNAcentral lists this non-coding RNA (24 nucleotides) under Arabidopsis thaliana (thale cress). The record is from RNAcentral. Lineage: Eukaryota; Viridiplantae; Streptophyta; Magnoliopsida; Brassicales; Brassicaceae.